GAUGAACGCUGGCGGCGUGCUUAACACAUGCAAGUCGAACGAUGAAGCCCAGCUUGCUGGGUGGAUUAGUGGCGAACGGGUGAGUAACACGUGAGUAACCUGCCCUUGACUCUGGGAUAAGCCUGGGAAACUGGGUCUAAUACUGGAUAUGACUUCUCAUCGCAUGGUGGGGGGUGGAAAGAUUUAUUGGUCUUGGAUGGACUCGCGGCCUAUCAGCUUGUUGGUGAGGUAAUGGCUCACCAAGGCGACGACGGGUAGCCGGCCUGAGAGGGUGACCGGCCACACUGGGACUGAGACACGGCCCAGACUCCUACGGGAGGCAGCAGUGGGGAAUAUUGCACAAUGGGCGCAAGCCUGAUGCAGCGACGCCGCGUGAGGGAUGACGGCCUUCGGGUUGUAAACCUCUUUCAGUAGGGAAGAAGCGAGAGCGACGGUACCUGCAGAAGAAGCGCCGGCUAACUACGUG
RNAcentral lists this ribosomal RNA (466 nucleotides) under uncultured bacterium. Its description in RNAcentral is "partial 16S ribosomal RNA". It matches the Rfam family "Bacterial small subunit ribosomal RNA", at positions 28 to 507 of the family's 1533-position model. The record is from RNAcentral.